This 110-nucleotide non-coding RNA is filed under the name uncultured Enterocloster sp. RNAcentral's name for it is "FMN riboswitch (RFN element)". It matches the Rfam family "FMN riboswitch aptamer (RFN element)". From Rfam's summary of the family: The RFN element is a highly conserved domain that is found frequently in the 5'-untranslated regions of prokaryotic mRNAs that encode for flavin mononucleotide (FMN) biosynthesis and transport proteins. This element is a metabolite-dependent riboswitch that directly binds FMN in the absence of proteins. In Bacillus subtilis, the riboswitch most likely controls gene expression by causing premature transcription termination within the 5' untranslated region of the ribDEAHT operon and precluding access to the ribosome-binding site of ypaA mRNA. The record is from RNAcentral. Lineage: Bacteria; Bacillati; Bacillota; Clostridia; Lachnospirales; Lachnospiraceae.
UUCUUCGGGGCAGGGUGAAAUUCCCUACCGGCGGUAUAGCCCGCGACCCGCUUCGGCGGCUGACCUGGUGUGAUUCCAGGGCCGACAGUAUAGUCUGGAUGUGAGAAGAA